RNAcentral lists this ribosomal RNA (432 nucleotides) under uncultured bacterium. RNAcentral's name for it is "partial 16S ribosomal RNA". It matches the Rfam family "Bacterial small subunit ribosomal RNA", at positions 338 to 795 of the family's 1533-position model. The record is from RNAcentral.
CCUACGGGUGGCAGCAGUGGGGAAUCUUGCACAAUGGGGGCAACCCUGAUGCAGCGACGCCGCGUGAGCGAUGAAGCCCUUCGGGGUGUAAAGCUCUUUCGGCAGGGAAGCGGUACCUGCAGAAGCAGCUGCGGCUAACUACGUGCCAGCAGCCGCGGUAAUACGUAGGCAGCAAGCGUUGUUCGGAGUUACUGGGCGUAAAGGGUGUGUAGGCGGUUGGAUAAGGGUGGUGUGAAAUCUCCCGGCUUAACUGGGAGGGUGCGCUACAAACUGUCUGACUAGAGUAUGGGAUGGGAGAGUGGAAUUCCUGGUGUAGCGGUGAAAUGCGUAGAUAUCAGGAGGAACACCGGUGGUGUAGACGGCUCUCUGGACCAUACUGACGCUGAGACACGAAAGCGUGGGUAGCAAACAGGAUUAGAUACCCUUGUAGUC